GUGUCAGCCGCCGCGGUAAUACAGAGGGUGCGAGCGUUAAUCGGAUUUACUGGGCGUAAAGCGUGCGUAGGCGGCUUUUUAAGUCGGAUGUGAAAUCCCCGAGCUUAACUUGGGAAUUGCAUUCGAUACUGGGAAGCUAGAGUAUGGGAGAGGAUGGUAGAAUUCCAGGUGUAGCGGUGAAAUGCGUAGAGAUCUGGAGGAAUACCGAUGGCGAAGGCAGCCAUCUGGCCUAAUACUGACGCUGAGGUACGAAAGCAUGGGGAGCAAACAGGAUUAGAUACCCUGGUAGUCCAUGCCGUAAACGAUGUCUACUAGCCGUUGGGGCCUUUGAGGCUUUAGUGGCGCAGCUAACGCGAUAAGUAGACCGCCUGGGGAGUACGGUCGCAAGACUAAAACUCAAAUGAAUUGACGGGGGCCCGCACAAGCGGUGGAGCAUGUGGUUUAAUUCGAUGCAACGCGAAGAACCUUACCUGGCCUUGACAUACUAGAAACUUUCCAGAGAUGGAUUGGUGCCUUCGGGAAUCUAGAUACAGGUGCUGCAUGGCUGUCGUCAGCUCGUGUCGUGAGAUGUUGGGUUAAGUCCCGCAACGAGCGCAACCCUUUUCCUUACUUGCCAGCAUUUCGGAUGGGAACUUUAAGGAUACUGCCAGUGACAAACUGGAGGAAGGCGGGGACGACGUCAAGUCAUCAUGGCCCUUACGGCCAGGGCCACACACGUGCUACAAUGGUCGGUACAAAGGGUUGCUACACAGCGAUGUGAUGCUAAUCUCAAAAAGCCGAUCGUAGUCCGGAUUGGAGUCUGCAACUCGACUCCACGAAGUCGGAAUCGCUAGUAAUCGCGGAUCAGAAUGCCGCGGUGAAUACGUUCCCGGGCCUUGUACACACCGCCCGUC
RNAcentral lists this ribosomal RNA (893 nucleotides) under uncultured bacterium. Its description in RNAcentral is "bacterial SSU rRNA". It matches the Rfam family "Bacterial small subunit ribosomal RNA", at positions 505 to 1398 of the family's 1533-position model. The record is from RNAcentral.